This 543-nucleotide long non-coding RNA is filed under the name Citrus x clementina. RNAcentral describes it as "Citrus clementina (C. clementina) long non-coding RNA (CCLE_LNC000832)". The record is from RNAcentral. Lineage: Eukaryota; Viridiplantae; Streptophyta; Magnoliopsida; Sapindales; Rutaceae.
GUAAAAAAAACCAACAAAUUAAGAUUAUAUUUGUCCAGUUCGAUAAAUAUAUUAUAAAAGGAUAAAAAAAAAUCCCCGGAUGGAGUGACUUAAAAUCAAUUAAAUAUUAUCCACAUCAUUAUCCAAAAGCGUUAGUUGCUCUACAUAACAAUUUUCAGACAUUCUUUUACAAUUUAUUUUUCUGGCGCGUGCUCAUUUCCUGCGAGUUGGCUGAACCUUAAGGUUGUGAUUAGAGGUGAAAAUUUGGGCGUAAAAGUAAUCACACGCGUUCUUAAGAUGUGUGAAAUCCACGUUCGGUGUUGAUGCCACAAGCGUCGGCUUUCCAGGCAGGUGGGUUCCACUCAUGCAGGGAAGGCAACUUGGUUUAAUAUCAUCGGCGAAGAGGGAGUUAACGGUGUUCUUCUUCUAUGUUUUUGAGUGGGGGCAAGAAAAUCAGGAGUACUAAAAAAUGCUCGUACAUUACACGGUACCUCCUCUAAAACGUCUUAAAAUACAUUUUUUUAACAUUUUUUUAAAACUUUUUUAAAGAAUUCAUAUAAAAAA